GUCGCCUCUCAGCCUUUUGGCUAAGAUCAAGUAUAGUAUACGUUCUUAUCAGUUUAAUAUUUUCUUUAUCCAUUCAGCCUUCAAUGGACACCUACAUUGAUUCCAUAUCUUGGUUAUUAUGAAUAGUGAUGCAAUGAAUAUGCAAGUUCAGGUAUCUCUUCCAUAUGUAAAUUUCAUUACCCUCA
Molecule: small nuclear RNA, 185 nt
Organism: Lepus europaeus (European hare)
Lineage: Eukaryota; Metazoa; Chordata; Mammalia; Lagomorpha; Leporidae
Product: U2 spliceosomal RNA
Exons: 1
Source: RefSeq, a predicted model, not a curated record